UACGUAGGGUGCAAGCGUUAAUCGGAAUUACUGGGCGUAAAGCGUGCGCAGGCGGUUUUGCAAGUCAGAUGUGAAAUCCCCGGGCUCAACCUGGGAACUGCAUUUGUGACUGCAUGGCUAGAGUACGGUAGAGGGGGAUGGAAUUCCGCGUGUAGCAGUGAAAUGCGUAGAUAUGCGGAGGAACACCGAUGGCGAAGGCAAUCCCCUGGGCCUGCACUGACGCUCAUGCACGAAAGCGUGGGGAGCAAACAGG
RNAcentral lists this ribosomal RNA (253 nucleotides) under uncultured bacterium. RNAcentral's name for it is "partial 16S ribosomal RNA". It matches the Rfam family "Bacterial small subunit ribosomal RNA", at positions 524 to 776 of the family's 1533-position model. The record is from RNAcentral.